Molecule: ribosomal RNA, 420 nt
Filed under: uncultured bacterium
Lineage: Bacteria
Description: bacterial SSU rRNA
Rfam family: Bacterial small subunit ribosomal RNA
Source: RNAcentral
GAAUAUUGGUCAAUGGGCGCAAGCCUGAACCAGCCAUGCCGCGUGCAGGAUGACUGCCCUAUGGGUUGUAAACUGCUUUUGUACGGGAAGAAACCCCCCUACGUGUAGGGGCUUGACGGUACCGUAAGAAUAAGGAUCGGCUAACUCCGGGCCAGCCGCCGCGGUAAUACGGAGGAUCCAAGCGUUAUCCGGAAUCAUUGGGUUUAAAGGGUCCGUAGGCGGUUUUGUAAGUCAGUGGUGAAAUCCGGCAGCUUAACUGUCGAACUGCCAUUGAUACUGCAGGACUUGAAUUACUGUGAAGUAACUAGAAUAUGUAGUGUAGCGGUGAAAUGCUUAGAUAUUACAUGGAAUACCAAUUGCGAAGGCAGGUUACUAACAUUAUAUUGACGCUGAUGGACGAAAGCGUGGGUAGCGAACAGG